Molecule: ribosomal RNA, 252 nt
Filed under: uncultured bacterium
Lineage: Bacteria
Description: partial 16S ribosomal RNA
Rfam family: Bacterial small subunit ribosomal RNA
Source: RNAcentral
ACGUAGGGAGCAAGCGUUGUCCGGAAUCAUUGGGCGUAAAGCGCACGUAGGCGGCUUGGCAAGUCGGAUGUGAAAUCCCUCGGCUCAACCAAGGAAGUGCAUCCGAAACUGCUGAGCUUGAGUACUUAAGAGGAUCGCGGAAUUCCCGGUGUAGAGGUGAAAUUCGUAGAUAUCGGGAGGAACACCAGUGGCGAAGGCGGCGAUCUGGGAAGAUACUGACGCUGAGGAGCGAAAGCGUGGGGAGCGAACAGG